GAUGAACGCUAGCUACAGGCUUAACACAUGCAAGUCGAGGGGCAGCAUGGUCUUAGCUUGCUAAGGCCGAUGGCGACCGGCGCACGGGUGAGUAACACGUAUCCAACCUGCCGUCUACUCUUGGACAGCCUUCUGAAAGGAAGAUUAAUACAAGAUGGCAUCAUGAGUCCGCAUGUUCACAUGAUUAAAGGUAUUCCGGUAGACGAUGGGGAUGCGUUCCAUUAGAUAGUAGGCGGGGUAACGGCCCACCUAGUCUUCGAUGGAUAGGGGUUCUGAGAGGAAGGUCCCCCACAUUGGAACUGAGACACGGUCCAAACUCCUACGGGAGGCAGCAGUGAGGAAUAUUGGUCAAUGGGCGAGAGCCUGAACCAGCCAAGUAGCGUGAAGGAUGACUGCCCUAUGGGUUGUAAACUUCUUUUAUAAAGGAAUAAAGUCGGGUAUGGAUACCCGUUUGCAUGUACUUUAUGAAUAAGGAUCGGCUAACUCCGUGCCAGCAGCCGCGGUAAUACGGAGGAUCCGAGCGUUAUCCGGAUUUAUUGGGUUUAAAGGGAGCGUAGAUGGAUGUUUAAGUCAGUUGUGAAAGUUUGCGGCUCAACCGUAAAAUUGCAGUUGAUACUGGAUAUCUUGAGUGCAGUUGAGGCAGGCGGAAUUCGUGGUGUAGCGGUGAAAUGCUUAGAUAUCACGAAGAACUCCGAUUGCGAAGGCAGCCUGCUAAGCUGCAACUGACAUUGAGGCUCGAAAGUGUGGGUAUCAAACAGGAUUAGAUACCCUGGUAGUCCACACGGUAAACGAUGAAUACUCGCUGUUUGCGAUAUACUGCAAGCGGCCAAGCGAAAGCGUUAAGUAUCCCACCUGGGGAGUACGCCGGCAACGGGAAACUCAAAGGAAUUGACGGGGGCCCGCACAAGCGGAGGAACAUGUGGUUUAAUUCGAUGAUACGCGAGGAACCUUACCCGGGCUUAAAUUGCAGAUGAAUUACGGUGAAAGCCGUAAGCCGCAAGGCAUCUGUGAAGGUGCUGCAUGGUUGUCGUCAGCUCAUGCCGUGAGGUGUCGGCUUAAGUGCCAUAACGAGCGCAACCCUUGUUGUCAGUUACUAACAGGUUCCGCUGAGGACUCUGACAAGACUGCCAUCGUAAGAUGUGAGGAAGGUGGGGAUGACGUCAAAUCAGCACGGCCCUUACGUCCGGGGCUACACACGUGUUACAAUGGGGGGUACAGAGGGCCGCUACCACGCGAGUGGAUGCCAAUCCCCAAAACCUCUCUCAGUUCGGACUGGAGUCUGCAACCCGACUCCACGAAGCUGGAUUCGCUAGUAAUCGCGCAUCAGCCACGGCGCGGUGAAUACGUUCCCGGGCCUUGUACACACCGCCCGUCAAGCCAUGGGAGCCGGGGGUACCUGAAGUGCGUAACCGCGAGGAGCGCCCUAGGGUAAAACUGGUGACUGGGGCUAAGUCGUAACAAGGUAGCCGU
This 1470-nucleotide ribosomal RNA is filed under the name uncultured bacterium. Its description in RNAcentral is "bacterial SSU rRNA". It matches the Rfam family "Bacterial small subunit ribosomal RNA". The record is from RNAcentral.